Molecule: small nucleolar RNA, 130 nt
Organism: Lemur catta (Ring-tailed lemur)
Lineage: Eukaryota; Metazoa; Chordata; Mammalia; Primates; Lemuridae
Product: small nucleolar RNA SNORA31
Exons: 1
Source: RefSeq, a predicted model, not a curated record
AUGCAUCUAUUGGACAGACCUGGAGCAGUUACUGUCUGCUGCUAAGGUUUCCACUACAGAUACGAAAAAAAGGUGUCCCUGUGCUUUCUGACUGAUUGUGGCAGCCCACAUGGAAUGGUGGAAUAUGGAA